AUGAUGGACUACAAAUCUGGGUUGCUAAUUUCUAUCAUCUACUUUACAGGCAUUUAUUGUCAGACUCUGACAGAAUCUGAGUCAGUGGUUAAAAGACCAGGAGAAUCCCACAAACUGACCUGCACAGCCUCUGGAUUCACAUUCAGCAGCUAUGAGAUGAACUGGGUCAGACAGGCUCCUGGAAAAGGACUGGAGUGGAUCGCUUAUAUCAGUAGUGGUGGUGGUGGCCAGUACUACUCACAGUCAGUCCAGGGCAGGUUCACCAUCUCCAGAGACAACAGCAGAGAUCAGCUGUAUCUGCAGAUGAACAGCCUGAGAACAGAGGAUUCUGCAGUUUAUUACUGUGCUCGAGAGGCACAAUGA
Molecule: non-coding RNA, 363 nt
Organism: Gambusia affinis (western mosquitofish)
Lineage: Eukaryota; Metazoa; Chordata; Actinopteri; Cyprinodontiformes; Poeciliidae
Source: the annotation of a RefSeq genome assembly